This 779-nucleotide ribosomal RNA is filed under the name uncultured bacterium. Its description in RNAcentral is "bacterial SSU rRNA". It matches the Rfam family "Bacterial small subunit ribosomal RNA", at positions 52 to 825 of the family's 1533-position model. The record is from RNAcentral.
UACCAUGCAGUCGAGCGGAGAUGAGGUGCUUGCACCUUAUCUUAGCGGCGGACGGGUGAGUAAUGCUUAGGAAUCUGCCUAUUAGUGGGGGACAACAUUCCGAAAGGAAUGCUAAUACCGCAUACGUCCUACGGGAGAAAGCAGGGGAUCUUCGGACCUUGCGCUAAUAGAUGAGCCUAAGUCGGAUUAGCUAGUUGGUGGGGUAAAGGCCUACCAAGGCGACGAUCUGUAGCGGGUCUGAGAGGAUGAUCCGCCACACUGGGACUGAGACACGGCCCAGACUCCUACGGGAGGCAGCAGUGGGGAAUAUUGGACAAUGGGGGGAACCCUGAUCCAGCCAUGCCGCGUGUGUGAAGAAGGCCUUAUGGUUGUAAAGCACUUUAAGCGAGGAGGAGGCUACUGAGACUAAUACUCUUGGAUAGUGGACGUUACUCGCAGAAUAAGCACCGGCUAACUCUGUGCCAGCAGCCGCGGUAAUACAGAGGGUGCGAGCGUUAAUCGGAUUUACUGGGCGUAAAGCGUGCGUAGGCGGCUUUUUAAGUCGGAUGUGAAAUCCCCGAGCUUAACUUGGGAAUUGCAUUCGAUACUGGGAAGCUAGAGUAUGGGAGAGGAUGGUAGAAUUCCAGGUGUAGCGGUGAAAUGCGUAGAGAUCUGGAGGAAUACCGAUGGCGAAGGCAGCCAUCUGGCCUAAUACUGACGCUGAGGUACGAAAGCAUGGGGAGCAAACAGGAUUAGAUACCCUGGUAGUCCAUGCCGUAAACGAUGUCUACUAGCCGUUG